RNAcentral lists this ribosomal RNA (440 nucleotides) under uncultured bacterium. RNAcentral describes it as "partial 16S ribosomal RNA". It matches the Rfam family "Bacterial small subunit ribosomal RNA", at positions 338 to 795 of the family's 1533-position model. The record is from RNAcentral.
CCUACGGGUGGCUGCAGUGGGGAAUAUUGCACAAUGGGGGAAACCCUGAUGCAGCGACGCCGCGUGAGUGAAGAAGUAUUUCGGUACGUAAAGCUCUAUCAGCAGGGAAGAAAAUGACGGUACCUGACUAAGAAGCCCCGGCUAACUACGUGCCAGCAGCCGCGGUAAUACGUAGGGGGCAAGCGUUAUCCGGAUUUACUGGGUGUAAAGGGAGCGUAGACGGCAGCGCAAGUCUGGAGUGAAAUCCCAUGGCUUAACCAUGGAACUGCUUUGGAAACUGUGCAGCUAGAGUGCAGGAGAGGUAAGCGGAAUUCCUAGUGUAGCGGUGAAAUGCUUAGAGAUCAUACAGAACACCGAUUGCGAAGGCAGCUUACCAAGCUACUUCUGACGUUGAGGCACGAAAGCGUGGGGAGCAAACAGGAUUAGAUACCCUAGUAGUC